UUCUGCUCAAUGAUAAGUUAAAUAGCCGCAGUACCCUGACUGUGCAAAGGUAGCAUAAUCAUUUGGCUUAUAAUUGAAGUCUGGCAUGAAGGAAUUAAUGGGAAGCAACUGUCUUUGAGGGAAUAAAAGAAUUUAAUUAGCAAGUGAAAAUGCUUGCGUAAAAAUAAUAGACGAGAAGACCCUAGAAAUUUUUUAUAAUAUAAUUCAUAUAUUAGUAUUAUUUUGUUGGGGCGACAGAAUAACAAGAAACUUAUUUUAAAUUAUUUGAACUUUAUACUGAGUAAAGCUAAAUUACUCUAGGGAUAACAGCAUAAUUUGUUAGAGUUUGUGACCUCGAUGUUGGACUAGGGAUUUUACUAUCUAGAAGAUAUUAAGCCAGGCUCUGUUCGAGCUCUUUUCCCUACGUGAUCUGAGUUCAGACCGGA
This 425-nucleotide ribosomal RNA is filed under the name Backeljaia corbellai. RNAcentral describes it as "partial 16S ribosomal RNA". It matches the Rfam family "Bacterial large subunit ribosomal RNA", at positions 1857 to 2620 of the family's 2925-position model. The record is from RNAcentral. Lineage: Eukaryota; Metazoa; Mollusca; Gastropoda; Stylommatophora; Geomitridae.